This is a long non-coding RNA of Oxyura jamaicensis (ruddy duck), 10397 nucleotides long. RefSeq lists it as uncharacterized. The transcript has 2 exons. Lineage: Eukaryota; Metazoa; Chordata; Aves; Anseriformes; Anatidae. The record is from RefSeq and is a predicted model, not a curated record.
UAUCACCCAGAAGAGCGCAGGUGCUCCUCCAUCCUAGCUGGAGUGGCUGAUGUUAGGUAAUAUCUUAAUAGUUGGAUUUCUUAGCUGUCCAUCACCAAAAGCAGUAGUAGUCAUCUUUAUGAAAAAAUGAUGAUGUCCUCCCAUUGUGAGAAACAAGGAUAUUUUCCCACAUACGUAGGCAGUCACUUUUGGCACUCCAUGCCGUUGUGCAGAUCAGAACUGUUGCUUUUUUAAAUCAAGCCUCCAGAAUUCAGUAGUAUGAGUAUGAACGCUUCUAUGAAUGAAAUAAUACGAAGAAAUAAAUCUACUUGUCAGCCUUCAGGCCAUGACAUUUUUACCAAUUUGACUGGUACUCCCACAGAGUGAAAUGGACAAAGCAGCUCUAGCAGCCCUUGUGCAAGCCUGUCUCUGGAGGAAGCACCAUUAGGUUAUACAGGUUGGGAAUGGUCCUGGUGGAGGUACUGUCAUGAGAAAGCAUGGGAUGCACCUUUCAUGUAGCCAUGACAUUUUAGUAGAGCAUUUAAAAAAGCUGAGCUGCUACCAUAGUUUGCAGCCAGAGGAAUCCUUGCUGUCUUUAUUAGUUUACAAACAGAUAUCUAUCUGUAAGCUAAGUGUUUUAGGCCUUCUAAAAUACCAGGCAUCGCUGUAACUUGAGCUGUGCUGGCAGCCUAUAAUGCCUAUUAAGAAAGGAGAAGUCAGUCUUUUCUGGAUGGACUAUGAAUUUGCUAUAGCUGCCAAACACUGUCUCCCCCAGCCUGAAGAGCAUUACAGUUCUUCCUUCCACCCCUCACCCCUUCCAUGCUGUAUUGAGAAGAAAACAUUUCAUUUGGCAGUUCAGUUUUUGUCACUGUUUCACUGAGCAUAAUUUAAAAGGAAAAAUAAUCGUAUCCUUACUUCCUCAACACAUCUUUAUAUAGGGUGGACUGCAGUAAAAAGUUACAUUUAAUCACUGCCUGGCUUCCAGCAAAGAGAGUGCUGCAUAUAUCUAACCAAACCCAGAUACAAAACAACUCCCAGCUUGGGCACAGCCCUUAUAGAGAGGGAAGGCCAAUGGAGUUUAUGUUAAUGUUGAGAGUCUCAUUAGCCCAGCUUACAGAAAGACUGACUACCUUCAAGAAGCAGCAAGAGGAAAGCAGACAGGUUAAUUCAGUCGCUACUCUUCAGGAGAGAUGUGACAGCUUUAACUGUCUUGUGCGUCCAGAUUUAUGAACUAGUCCUAUGCUCUUAACCAGAUUAGUUCCUUUUCCAUUAACUGCUGAAAGUAGGGCAGCUGUCCGAGCGGCUGGUUGUAAAUUCGAUAAUGUCUGCUCUGUUAAUCUGUAGGCUUUUCAGAUGGAGAAGGCAGCAGAUAACAGGAUUAAAGUUUCACGACCCAGGGUUUUCACAGCCCGAUAUGCGGGCGUAGGGGGAUAGAGAAUGACUUCUGUCAUUAAUCUUAAUUGAUUGCCAAGAGGUUUUAAUCUGGGUUAUUAAUUAGGAAGAUCCUUAACAUACUGUCUACACAUCAACAUCAGAUGCUCUUUUGAGACUUUUGGGACAUAUGGCCUAUCUUAUAUUUACGUUCACACAAUUUGCACAUACAUAUAUUUCUGUAUGAAGUGCACAUAUAUAUGUAUAUAUGCAUACAAAUAACUGUAGAAACAUUUGCAUGCAGAGGCAUUGCACACUCUUUGGCAAUAUUUGAUGAAAAUGAAUAAACACAGUGCACAUAGGUUACAUUUCCACACAGUAAACAUGUAUACCUCUAUGUUCAUAUGUUUAUGUAUCUGUUUGCAUUAUACAUGCCAUUUAUCUCAAUUAUUUCUUAAAUGGAAAUAUCUGAUUUUGCAGAUUUACAUAAUGUUCACGUUUAACAGAAGUACAGCAUGUGUCCGUAUGUGCCUCUGGCCAUUAAGAUACCUACAGAUCUCAUACAGAAACAUUACCAUUUUUAUCUUUUUCAGUUCCCUGGAGUUAAUGUUCAGGCCCUCAUUUUUCCCUUGUUUUAUUUUUAAACAAGUUGCUGUUGGACAGCCAGAAUGGAUAGAGGUAUAACUACCCAUAGCUGCAACUAUGUAGCUACGCGAUAAAUCCCAGUAAGGCAGCUUUGAUGUUUACCAAAGUGCAGUAUGCAGGAAGAAAUAUUGAAUUAUGGAUUGAGCAUAUAAACUAGGCAAGAAGAGAAAAUGCUACGACAGAGUCCUGUAGAUUGUGUAGAUUCAAGCUGCACUAUAAAUUAUCCUUUUACAGAUAAUUAUUUACACGAUUAAUCACACAUACAGAACAAGAGCCAGGGGCUGAAGAGGCCUCAUGUUUUAAGUCUCCGUGAGUGACAGUGGAGAGGACUCCUGCUUCCUGCUCAGCAUGCUAGGCCAUGCUGUCCUGCUUUACCAAACAAAAUGCAAAUAUUAUAAGAAGCCAACCAUUUAAUUACUCAUGAGCUGAAAAGCCCGCCCUUAAAAGUGUUCACAAGUAAAAAUGGUUUGUAAUCCUUCAGACGAGAGAGAAGGGUGUAACUGCUGCUUUUGGGAAGGGUUAAAGAUGGCCAAGUAUCAGGGAGGACUUGCUGACAAGCUAGACAAAGGAUUUCCCAGUUCUUCCCAGGAAACAGAGAUCAGUUGCUGGCUCACCUAAACGUAGACUCAAUGGAGAAACACAUGAAAGAAUCUGAAAGUUCUUCUGUCAUGCCUGUAUUGGGUAUUGUGUUGCCUCUUUAAACUGUUACCCACAACUUUCCCUCAUGUCCCAUUGUAAAUUGCAUCUAGUCUUCCUGUAACAGAGAUUAACUGUUGCAGUGCCACAAAGGGGCAUCACACGAAUGCACCCGCCUCCCAAAGAUUUGCUGUGGCUCUCUGCUUCAACUUGGAUUUCAUCAGAAGUAACUUUCCAGCAUAUUCUGCCUCUUAGAAAGAAAUAGAUCUUGACUCAUUGCUAGGUUAUUUUCCUAACAAAGUCCCACUUGUGGAAGAUUUAUGGCUUUUAUCCUCUGUCUUACUAUUGCAAGAUGUUCCUUCUCUUGAGCAACACCUGUAACUUCAUUUGGACUACUGAGAUAUGUGGAUAUUACUGAAGUCCUGCUUUGUAUCAGUCAUUCAGCAGUCAGCUGAGUUGAUCUGUAAUUUUUCACUUAGCACUGGAGAUACUUCUGCUGAGAAGGAGCAGCGUAGUAACAUCAGACUUCCCAGGAAGGCAUCUUACUGAUCUGGCAGAUAAUCCAUUUUUGUGGUGUCUCAGGAGCUUUGUUGUCAAGUUGGGAACACCCCCUUGUUGGCACAUUGAAGAAAAGGUCAAAACUUGAUUUCAAACAAUGGCAUCAUUUCUUCCACCUCAUCACAAAUUUGAAAUCCAAGUAUGAAAUAACUUUAAUGACCAUGUUUCCUUGGCAUAGCUCUGUGUCUGCCUUUUCCAAUGAGUCACAGAUAAGGAGGAGGAACUGAAGUAAUUUGAAACCACAUUGUAGGCAAUAAAAACACCAGGCAUGGAAGAAGAGUCUUCCAAUUGGCUCACGCAGAAUCAGCAAAUGAUUUCCCAUAGCUGUGCGUCCUUUACUCCUUUGCUUUUUGACAACAUCUAAAUGAGAAGAGUUUAUUUCGAGCAAAAAUAAUGCAUUAGUCAUUUUAGCUCCCAUGCUCAAAGUUAUUAUUAGGAAUGGUAAUGUUCAAUGGAGAUGGGAUUCUCCAUAGCUGUAGAAAUGAAAGGGCCCAGAACUCUUCAUCAGUGAUCUGGCAUGUUUAACAAGAAUCAGACUGUGAUUCCAUUGCUGUUUGGAGAAGAUCAGUACAAACAUUUUAUAUCAACAAAGAUAACUGCUGAUGGAAAUCAACUGCCCAGGAGCUAGCAGGGGUCUGGGAUAGGGAAUUUGAUAACAGAAUGAGGCAGGAGGCUCAGAACACUUAAUGGAAAAAGAAAUAGGAUAGAUUUCUUUUGACUUCACUGGACUCUAAUUCCCUAAGCAACAGAAAAGGCUUAUAAAACAUCUUGAAAAGAGUAUUUUUAGAAACUAGAGUUUAUGCAUCACGUUGAAGGUGUCAGUGUCACCUGCAGGUAGUUGUGGCAACCUGCAACUCAAAGUGGAUUACUCGCUUCAGAGGAGUUUAUUAUGAACCCAUGCUCAAUUACAGCUAAGUGAGAUCCAAGUAUGAGCAAGUACCCCACCCAGAUGCUGUCACUGCACCAAUACAACAGUCUUCUAAAGCCUGAAAACAGCUGCACAUAAUAAUUUCAUGCAAGCAAAUCUUCUCAUUAGCUUUAAUACAACGUUAUCAGAAAGAAGGCAGGGUGAUGGAGCUGUUCUGUUUUUGUGAUGCUGGUUGCAUAAAAAAGUUGGGAAGGACUACUGCUGAACGUGACAAUUAUUUGUUAGAGGUGGACAGUUUGGAGAAAGAAGAAAAAAUAUUAACAUUUAAAUUUACUGCUUCUGAUCUUUUUACUCUAUUCCCAUAAUUCAAAAUUAUUUUUGUUUUGAAAUUUAUUUUUGCAUGUCUGCAAGUCCAUAAUGAACUAUAGAUCCAUUAAGAACUAACAAAAAUCCUAAACACUUGAAUUAUGAACAUCUUAAAAUAACUAAGCUGUAAUAUUUUAUCAGUAACUCAACUUUAAUAUUUAUAUGGAGUGCCUUAAGGUAACAUACGCCUGUGAUCCUUAUCUGUAUGUUUUGUCUCAAAAUUUCUACCUACUAAAACAAGUGAGUGUGCCAUACAGUGGCAAAGCCUGUUAAUAAAAGUUCAGGCUAACAUCUAUCCAUAAAUUAGGAUGCCUUGAUACAUUUGAGUUUUGUCCCCCAACAGUGUGACAUAAUGGCAUGCCCUCAGCCUUAACAUUUAAUUUUAAUAUUGAACUUGCUGCUUUUUGAUGGCUUGUGUCAUAGCCUUUAUGUAAUUUAAACACAGUCUUAAAAAAAUUAAUUCAAUUACGAGCAAUGGGGUUAUUAAUGCUGCUUCAUGUCACUAAAUAUAUAGGGGUACGUAUGAUUCUGUUCCUUUUAAGUCACUCUGAAAUGAAUUUUGCAACUUCUGAUAACUGUGGUGGACAAAUGCUAAAUGAAAAUCAAUCACUUUAAUUUAAAUGGGCUAAGCUCACUGUCUUUCUUAAACAGCCUCUGUCGGACAGCUAACCAGAUGAUAAGUAACAGUUUCACUGACCUAUAGCCUUUGAAUGUUUAACAUAAUCCUCUAAGGACAGCACUUCAAUUACCACUGCAUUGCUUGUACUCUAGGGCUCAGGAUUGCUCAUUCGUAUAUAAGGAUUACUUCUGAUGCACUUUUCUAUCUGUAGUUUUCUUCCACAAUGUUGCUCCAUUUUUAUUACUGUGUCUAGCAAUCUAAACCCUGCAACUGAAAUGAAUUUGAUCAAAUUAAAGAGGAUCAGAUUUUCCUGGAAUUCGUUAAUCACUUUUUUUUCCACUGGAAACAACAGAACUCCUUUGAUGGUCUGAAAUAUAAAUUUUCUUGUAGGAUGCAAAACAUCACUGUGUGAUGAGAGAUGAGAGAGGGUAAAUGCAGAUGGAAAGUACAUGUUAGCUAGUAGAACAUUUUAUCUUUCUGUGCCAAAGUACAUGGGUAAUACUUCAUGUUAUAUUACAGUAGCAACUUAAAACCUGCUAAAAUUUGAAGUGGUUGUAAAAUGAUGGACAGGGACAGGUAUCUUCGGGAAGUUGUUGAAAAUGACCCCCCCCCCCAAAAAAAAAAAAAAAAGUGUAUUAUUUAGGGCUUAAAAUUUUCAGAAGAGCCUAAGGGCUCUUAAAAUUCACCCAGUUCCAGGGAAGGACUUCCCUGGCAAAGCCCACACCAUCCCAUCAAAACAAACUGUCACAGGUCCCUAAAUCAUACAAAUCCUGCGUAUUGCCACUAGAAAAUGACUGAUUACCACUGGAAACAGGUAUUGCAUUUUAGACCACAUCCUUAUGUCUGUCCUGCUUCCUUCCCUGUUUCAGUCCUGCCUUUUUGCCCUAUUCCUGGCUCAGUUCCCUCUCUGUGUAGACUGCUGCAUUUGCCCUCGCUACUGCAGAGUUCUGCUCAUUAUCUUGAACCUAGAGUGCCUAUCACAGCUGAACCACAACUAGUUGCAGGUCAUUUAUUUAAUUUCAUUAAUAAAAUAAAAAUGUCCACAGACAAAGGUUUUUGCCCUCUAAUAGCCACUUCGAGUCUCAGGCAGCUGACGGGAAUGACCUUUUAUUUCUGCAGUCAUUUUCAUAAUGAUAUUCAGGGUUGGGCCCAACAACCAAUCUGCCAUGCAUUAGUAGACAUCAGUUCCCUUUGGUAAUACAAGAUAGAUGUACCCCAAGCAGAUGGUCAGAGAUCAUAGGUGGCUAAUGAACUUGAUAGGGCAUUUUAUUAAGAUUAUGAUGGCAACUAAAUAUGUUUUUCCCCUCUGAUAACAUCAUUUAUAACAAAAAGAAAAGGUGUGUAAAGGAACAGGAGGAUACAAUGGAUUGUGUUGUUGGACCUAGAGAUUUCUGAAUUCUGGAUGAAAUUUCUCAAAUCUGAUUGCUCUAGAAGUGCAUUGGCAUAAAGUGCCUUGUUGUUGGCAGAGAAAAAGAAACUGCUAGUGUAUCUUGGUGCUAAUUGGAGAGAAGGUGGCACAAUGUUACCCCCAUCCUGGUAUUUGUUACUGACUCUACUGCUUUGAAUAACUUCUACAUGUCAGAUAUUUUAAAGCUAGUUAUCAUACUCCCCACUCCAGUGAAAAUCCAAGAAAAUACAAAUUUCAUGAAGUUUAGCCUUGCAAAUGCAUAUCAAAGACAUGUUCACAUGGGGGGCCAUGGAAUUGCACCCCUUUAAUCACAGAGUAUAGCAGAGUCAUACUUGUUUUCCUUGAAAGCCCUUCCUGCUCCUAGCGUUUGCAUUUUUGGAGUGUGGGCAUGUUCAGACCUACCAAACCGAAAUCCAAGUUAUCCUUCCUUUUUUUCCUCCAAACUAACUGUAUGCCUUCAUGUCUCUGUGAAACUGACCCUAAGAGUAUCAAGGCCAAUUGCAUCUGCCUAGCACUUCUCCUAGUCAGGGCCAAAUCAAUCAACAGCACAAAGCCAUCAAGCUUGAAAGAGCACUUUAUACUAUUUCAUGUGCUUAAUUCUUGCCAAGUAUAACAUAUUUUUACUGAGUAAAAGCCAGUUUCUCUCUGCUAGAUAAAUAGUACAACUGUGGCUCAAAUUGCAAGUGAAAUUUUACUUUUGACUUUUAAGGAUUUGAGGUCUGUGUCACAAGUAUUUGAGAAACGCCUUCAUCUCCUGGCAUAUUACUCUAGUUUAGCUCAUUUAACCCGUCCAAACCCCACCUGCAUGGAGAGAUGCUAGCUGGAGAUUAACAGUCACAGCCAAUCCCUAGCUGUGGCAUUUGCCUCCCACCUUUGAUUCCUAAAAUAUACAUCCAGUAGUUUUCAGUAUGGACUUCGGAGUUUCCUCUAAGGCUAAUCUGAGGGGUAGUAAACACAACUGGUCUUCAGCUGAAAUGAUUGCUCAUUACACCUGAUUCCUUAGGAGGUUGUGUGUUAAAACUCAAGUUAAAAUCAAGCUAAUCGUGUCUGCUAUUGACUUAGAUCUGUAAUUGACUAUGCUGAGCUUAUACUCAGCAAUACGAAGGGUUUGGUAACAACUUACGGAUGUGGUACUGAAAAAUACCUUUGGUUUAGGCUUUCCAGAAUUCAGUUUAAAUGUAUUGCCAAUAGUUUAAAGAAGAUAAACAGAAAGAAAUAUUCCAAUUUCUUUAUAUUUGAGUUUCCUAUCUCUAAUGUAAUUAGCCCUUUUCUUAAAAGGGUCAGCCACAUGCUCAGUUGUUUGCCUGGGGGGGGGGGAGGGGGGAAGAGGGGAAAAUUGGCUAAGAAGUUAUGAGAAAAUUAGUAUCUGAUAUCACUAUGCUGGGAGAAAUUUUAUUGACCAGCAUAUUUUACAGCCACAUGUUUUCAUCAAGGUAAAAAUGCAACAUAAAUUUUCCUCCAGUUUGUAUCUCUGGUCUAGUCACAGUUGAGCAUUUCUUACUGGGUUUUUGAGAAGUGCUUGGACAAGCAAGAGGUGCCUCCCUUGAGCGAGGACUGCAGGACCAGCCUCAGUAAACCCCUUGCCAUUACUGGUGAUACCACUAAGAUGGUUAUCACAAGCAGAGUAGCUGUGAGUUCUUUGCUCUAGAGUAUUAGGAUACUUUGGGUUUUUAAAAAUAGUCUACCUAUUUAAGUGGAACAUCAUUCCUGAACUUGUAAGAAGAAACAUUACGAAAAAGAUUACUAUGAAAGAGAAUUAUGAUGGUGUGACCUGUCUCAGCAGACUAUGACAGCAGCAUUGAUCAACCUGUAAGCAAGACCCAUUCUUUUUAUCGAUCUUGCUGUCACUUCAUGCUACAGCCUCUCACAACACCUCUGCUGUUGCAAGGAAGACCACCAUGCAUGGGCUUCAGCAGCGAGUACAGCUGCUCUCCCUAGGAUAAUCUCCCAGCUGGGCCAUAUACUCAUUUUUACAGAGAGCACAAGAAUAAUUCACUGCAGCUAAGUAUCUGCCCAAUCUCCUCUUCUUUCCUAGCCAGAAUGGUGGGGGCUUGCAGAGAUUGAAACUAAAAUGUUUGCCAUCUGACAACUCUUUUAGUCUGCCUUGCUAGUCUACUGUCUCCACCAAGAUCACAACACAGACAUAAAUGCUGCUGAUUGGAGUGAGGGUAUGAAAUACACUUGAGCAAAAAGCAGGAGGAAGAUAUAAGAGGAACAGAAAGCAUGUCUUUGUACUGGCUAAUUUUUGAUUUCCACUCAGCACUUCCCAGCAUCUGCACCACUGCCACACACUGAAGUUGCAGGUUUGCUAAAUGUAGCAUGUCGUCCCUGAGCAAAGCAGCACAGCUUCCCCCAGUGACAGUGCUGGUAAUUAAGACACAAGAGAUACAGCAGCAUUUUUCUAAGGGUUACAGGGUCUGAAGAAGACAACGCAAUAAAGUAUGAGGCUAGUGAUGCUAUGUGACGUUUUUGUAGAGGUGAUGUGAACACCAACUAACGAAGGCAACGCCACUUAUGGGAUGGGGAAAAAAGAGAGGCCUCCAGUGAGCCCUGUGAACUACCACUAGGAACCAAGGAGUAGAACUGAUAUGGGUAGGAGACUUCAUAUUCCAUUUUUAGAAGAUGAAAAUGGGAGAAUUAAACCCUCAAAGCAGACAAUUACCUUUGGUGCAAGAGAAAAGCAACACAAACAGGUUUGUUCCCAUAGCUCUGUUGAGUACACCUAAACGUAACUCUGUGUAACAUCUCUCUGGUAUUACUCUCCACUUAACAGGGAUCUUACUGCGAUACUGGGGUCAAUUCAUCACUAGAAAAGAGAAAAACUAUCAUUUUUAAAUGCUAGGGUUUAUCCACUGUGAUAACACCACACCGUCGCAAUGCCACAUUGGUACAUUUUGUGGAAAGGUCUAAUAAACAAACGCAUUCUUACUUGUCACAGAGUAAGGGACAGAGAUUUUACCUUGUGUACAGCACAAAAGUCAGCUGAAGUCAGGUCAUAUGCCAGGCUAAACUGAGCUAUACAGAGGGAUAUAUAUUUAUAAAAGAUGCACGCUGCCUAGUGUUAGAAUAUGACAGCAUGCAGACCUUUGUGCUUCAGAUGGCUCUGAACAAUGACUAGUAUUGUUCCUAUUUGCUUUACCUACUGUAUGAGGCCUAAGCCACGCGCACCUUCAAGCCUCCUUGGAGACAAGGUGGUGGCAUCACUGGUCAGCCCACUUGGGAGAAGGACAGCUGUUAGAGCCGAUUGCAGCCCUUGUCAGCAUUAAUGACCCGCAGUUGACACCCCAUCCCCGCCACCCUUGUUCAGUGUACAAGUAUUGCAUUGGAAUAAUUACUGCCUGUCAUCCCCUAUUUCACACACAUACUCCUCUUAGCCCAGACGUACAAAGGGACAUGUGACUAGAUGCUGAACUAAUGUUGACUCUCUUUGUGUCUGGGGCUUCUGUGCUUGUAUGUGUGCGCGCCGUAUAUAUGCAUACUGACAUUCAGUGCUCAGGUAAUACGAAGGGUAAGUUACACCAGUGAGAUUCCCUCACUGUCCUUCCUGGAUCCUGUCAGAUAUAACUCAUCAGGAAUGUGUAAGGGCUCUGGCCUCCUGUAAAGUCUGAGUACCCGGAUGGCAGGCUUGUAUCGGCUCUGCUUUGCUCCACAGCUCUGCUCCCCUCCUGGCUGUGUGUUUCAAUAGAGAAACCUCUUAAGCAUCCUUGUCCAGUUCUCUCUGCUUCUUUGGAUUUGGGAAUCUUAUGCCCAGGAUGUCUUGAUUUUGAGAGCUAUGCAGGUGUUACAUAUCCUGUCAUUUUCUGCCUCCCUGCCGUGGCUGGCUCUUCUGUAAGCAGUAGAUCAUAGAAUUACAGAAUAUCCCAAGUUGGAAGGGACCCACAAGGAUCAUCGAGACCAACUCCUGGCUCCCCACAGGACCACACCAAAAUCAAACCACAUGUCUGAGA